RNAcentral lists this ribosomal RNA (373 nucleotides) under Triticum aestivum (bread wheat). Its description in RNAcentral is "partial small subunit ribosomal RNA". The record is from RNAcentral. Lineage: Eukaryota; Viridiplantae; Streptophyta; Magnoliopsida; Poales; Poaceae.
GCAGUGAAGCGGACCGAGGGGUGAGGGGUCGUCGAGCUCACGGGGGUAGGGGGUAGCGGCCGCCUGCCGCGGCUGUCCUAUUGCGCGAGUGUCGAUCCGCGGCCGCGGUCGUGGCCGUGACGUAUGUUCAAGACUCGCGAGAACUGGCCGGCGGCCGGAGGUAACGAGGCCGAUCCAGCGUCCAUAUCGAGGUUCUUAUCCACAAAACACCACAGACAACUACCGGUUAUCGCUCAUACUCAUACGUUUCUCGCUCAAGCUCAAGCUGGCGGCGGAGGGUCGGAGGUUGACCUACCAGUAGGUGUAGCUACCGACGGUAAGGUGGCAAAACAAAAGUCUCUCCUUUGUUUUAAGAAGUUUCUGCUCUUUCCAU